This 1398-nucleotide long non-coding RNA is filed under the name Rattus norvegicus (Norway rat). RNAcentral describes it as "long non-coding RNA NONRATT024821". The record is from RNAcentral. Lineage: Eukaryota; Metazoa; Chordata; Mammalia; Rodentia; Muridae.
GAAAACCAAAGCAGGACAAUGGAUGAUGCUCCGAACAGGGUUCCAUCUAACAGAAUCGAGAUACAAAACGUAUAUAUAUAUUUAUAUUUAUUUAUAUAUUUAUAUUAUUUGUAUUAUUUGUAUAUAUUUAUAUUUAUAUUUUUAUAUAUACAUAUAUUUACACAUAUUUAUAUAUUUACAUAUUUAUACAAUGUGUUUAUAUAUUUUUAUAUUUAUUUAUGUAUUAUAUAUUUGUAUAUAUUUAUAUUAUUUAUAUAUUUGUAUUUGUAUUUAUAUUAUUUAUAUAUUAUAUAGAAAUAUAUUUAUACAUAUAUUUAUAUAUUUACAUAUUUAUAUAAUAUAUUUAUACAUUUUAUAUAUAGUUUUAUAUAUUUGUAUUUAUAUUAUUUAUAUAUAUUUAUAUUUGUAUUUAUGUUUAUUUUGUUCAUAUAAUUUAUAUUUAAAUAUAUAUUUAUACAGAUAUUUAUAUAUUUACAUAUUUAUAUGAUAUAUUUAUUUAUAUUUAUUUUUGUAUAUUAUAUUUAUAUUUAUAUUAUAUAUAUUUAUAUUUAUACUUAUAUUAUUUAUAUAUAUCAUAUAUAUAUAUUAUAUUGGAAAUGUCCAGAAUGGGAAAUCUAUAGAAGCAGAAGGCAGAUGAGUGGUUGCCAAGAGCUGGAGGGUGAGGGGUAACUACUGAGUGGGUGCAGGGUGUCCUUCUGGGUGACAGUACUGUUUUACACCUGAGUGGGCGUGUUUGUAGUGCGGUGCCAUAUUUGUUGUAAAUGACACCAAAUCGCAUACAUUUAAACGGUUCAUCCUAUGCUAUGUGGAUUCACCUCUCUUUAAAAUGAGUUCUCAGUGCACAUAGGACUCCAAGUGUUCCAUUCUGCAACCUUCCAUUAGCCUUUCCCCCUUUGUGAUGAGAGGUACAGCGAUGGCCGCUGGGAGAGAAAGACGAGUAUAUACAUAUACACACACAUACAGUCCAACUAGGAUAGAGCUGCACACUAACUAGCUUCCUGGGAGUGGUUGGAUGUUGCAGUAAAAUUAAAAGAGCUUGUACAUCCUGAUCCCAUGAGUUCCCAUUUCACAUGAAUCUGCACAUUCUUUCUGUUUCUCUGUCAGCUGUCCCCAUGGACACUGUCCCCAUGGACAGUUGUUACCACACCUGUUACCAUGGAUGGUGAUAGCAUGGCCCCACACCACACUAUCUCUAAGCAUUCUAUAGCCUAGCACAGCUUCCUGUCACAGAGUCUGCUCACACUCCCAACACCCUGUGCAAUCAUUACUCAGCAAACUGGAGCCCAACAACCAGAUUUAUGUGUUCCAUGCUCAAUGUGCAAUACAUCCACACAAUUAACUUACAGACAAUUGAUAAGGAUAUAAACUGUCCACCUAGUAAAGAUAUAGUUUAUUCAU